CAUUUUUAAUUCCAAGAUAUUUACCAGUUAUAGCAGUUUUACCUUCAACUGGUCUCUUGUAUUUUCAUCACAUCUUUAUGAAGUGAAACAUGUUUAACUGUUAUCAUAAUCUCCUGCUUCAUGACAUACUGCAGCACAUUUUCCUUCAUUGUUUGAAUGUGUUGGAUAUAAAAUAUCAGGCCAGACACAAUCCAUUAUUACCUCAUCGUUAGCUGAGCAGUUAUUAAUAGUCUUUGAUUGAUGAUCAACAAGAGGAAACUGUGUGUCUGCAGCCGACUGUAAAACUGUCAGACUGUUUUAAUUAACUUUAAUAACCAGACGUAAAAUCAUGUGACAUCAUAGAAAUGCUUCUCAACCCCCCCAUCCACCAUUCUCCUCCUUUCUGAGACCUCAGACUCAGACCAGAAACAGACAAACUGAACUGUUUCAGGAUGAGCAGGAUGCUGAACGAUACAGCCUCUGGACUGAUGUGGAUUCAGGUCUGAUGUGGAUUCAGGUCUGAUGUGGAUUCAGGUCUGAUGUGGAUUCAGGUCUGAUGUGGAUUGUGGAAAUGAUGCUGCUGAGGUUUUUCCUCGCUUGGAUCAUUGGACUCUUCCAGAUGAGUUUGGGGGCGUGUCCUGACGUUGCUAUGGAGAUGAGUUGCAGGUAUUCUUACAUCCUGUUUCCUCCUCCUCCUCCUCCUCCUCCUCCUCCUCCUCCUCUUAGAGAGCUUACCUUCACAGUGUGGCCCUCUGCUGGUCCGGAUGUAACCUUUAAACAUCUCCCGCUCCUGAUGUUCUUCCUCACCCCAACAUCAUUUAUCAUAUUAUUGAUCCUCUCCGCUGUGUGUUAUAAAGCCAUGAAGAGGACCAUCUGAGGAAAGAAGACAAAGACAGGAUGGAACAACAACUCUGUGAUUUACAGAGUGAAAUGAGAGUCAAACUAUCAGCUGCUGAAGAGAACAUACAAUAAAAAUUACAAUUUAAAGCGUUCCUGAUGAAAGACAAAAGAUAUCUAAUACAACCUAAGACAUACUGACCACCUCUUUUUCCGCACUCCUAGAAUAUUUAAAGAAUUUGGUCGCCGUUCAUUCCAGUUCAAAGCUCCGUCUGAUUGGAAUAAUCUCCCAUGCCAGCUUAGGUCUACUACUUCACUUCAUGGUUUCAAAGCAUCACUUCUAACCCAUUUGCAAACUCCUUGUUCGUGUUAUUUUGUGUUUGUUCUUACUCUUAUUCAUUUAUUUUUAUCAUUAUUAUUAUUAUUAUUAUUAUUAUUAUUACUAUUAUUAUUUUCAUUAUCUUAUUUUCUUCUCAUUUCUCACUCACUUUUUCAUUCUUAUUUGUUGUUGUAUCUUAUAUAUUUAUCAUAUAAAUUGAUAUUCCUGUAACUUUCUUUUUCCCACUUGUAAGCAUGGAUACUACUAAAUUGAUUAGUGAACUGAGAUUUGGCUGUCAGUGGAUUAGCUGGGAUUUGGAGAGCCUUGUCUGUGUGAGUGUGUGUGUGCAUGUAUAACAGAUGUAUGAUGCAUGUAUAAUUCAAAUAUCUGGAGAAGAUAAGCAAAGAUUUAUAUCCAGUGUUCGGUAGAAACUGAGUCACAUGACCUCUAUAUGACCUCCAUGUUUUUCAGCUGUGUCGUCGUGUUCGUUGUUUGAUGUGAAUUAAAAGGUGAUGUUUGAGGUGACACGUCUCUUUGGUUUGUCUUUUUUUAUUUUACUUUUUAUUUUGGCCUGUUAUGGCUUUAUUAAUAGGACAGCAUUGAAAGGGGGGACGACCAGGGCGGCCUGCAGCUGGUCCGCUGCAGCGAGGACUCUGUACAUGAGGAGCUGCAGAACCAGGUCCGUCUGUUUAUGAGGUGUGACUUAGUUAAUAAUCACUCAGAAAUUAAACAGAUCAAUCUGUUAGUGUUUGUCUGACGAUGACUUCAUUGAUUAUGUCGGGGUCCGGAUCACAAAUAUUUUCCCGAUAGUGACCGCUGUUCUACACAUCAUCCCGCUUAUUACACGGUUACUUGCCAACACACAAGAAAACUUGACACAGUGUCUUUUUACAGUUUAUUUGUUCAUAGUGUUUUUCAGCAGAGAAAUAUAGUUCGCCAAACAGACGCCAUUUCUCUUCUCCCUCUUCGCUGCUUUCCUCUCUUUUUCUUUUCUUGACCGGUGACGACAACUCAGCCUUUUGCAAGAGUUGAAAUCACCGUAUUUUCCAAAAAUAUUAAAGUUAAUGUGAAGUAGACUACAGAUCAGCUGACGCUUAGCGACUGAAGACGCUGGGGUGAAAAGUGACCGGACUACUUGCAGAGCAAAGAUUUUACGAAAUACAUGAAUCAGAGGCAAAAAGGCCACUUUCCUUGACGACGGUCAAAUAUGCUUAGCAACGCUCAAUUAUACGAAAAUAAUUGACCGCCAAACGUUGGGAAGGCUCAUUCAAGUGAAUGGAGCAUUCUACAGCAUUAAGAAGAGCCGUGUGAUAAUGAUUAUUAUUUUAGAAGAAUUUAGACUCAAGGACAAAUGACCACGAAGGUCAAACACACACACACACACACACACUUGAUGACAUCAUACAUGAUGAGUGUGCAGCUGUGUGUCUGUUCACACACUUUCUAUGUUUUAUAUAAUUUUCAAAGAUGUGAAACAGUUUGAGUUUCUGUUAAGAGUCACCUGAUGUGGAACAGCCAAUGGGAACUGCCCUCUCUGACAUGAACUGUGAUUGGCCGGUGUCUCCAGUCACAGGUUGAAAAUCUGAAAAAGACAUCCAAAUUACUGAAUAACAAUAACAACCAGAGUGUAUUUUAAGUUAAAUACGAAAAUUUGAGAUUUACCUUUUUUUCCUGAACACAAACAAUUUCAUUAUGACAUGAAGAUAAUGAUGAUGAUGAUGAUGAUGAUGAUGAUGAUGAACAUGUCCCCUCACUUCUGGUCCAGGAUGGAAACUGAUGAAGAUUUUCUUUAAACACGAUGAAGACGUCUGUCUUCCUGUGAGCUCAGACUCUCUGUGGGAACUGAUGUAGUCAAACAGGAAGUGAUUAACUCUGAAAAUCCAGCCGAGUAAACUAAACAAACAGAGACUUCCUGCUCAAACACAAACACACAGGCUGGAGCUUUAUUUUUAUCUUCACUUCCUGUUUGUACCACAGUGAGAAGAAGAAGAGACGAUCCAACAUCCAGUUCAACAGGUUAGAAAGACACAAUGAAAGACCACGACAAGAGAGCCAGGAAGCUUUUAUUUUGAAGUGACAGCUCUGUUCAGGUGAGACGAUGUGUGCAGAAGCUUCGGUCGCAUUAAAACUGUGUUCACACUUUAAUAUUGAAACCUGCAGAUUUUAAAACAACUUCUAUUCAUGACAAAAUGAAAAGAUGAUGAAGAUGAUGAUGUUCAGGUUUUGGGUCUCUGGCGGGCCCUCUGGCGGUACUCCGGCAGGUGAUGAAGAAUCCAGGCAGCUGGGGUCAACAUGGCCACCGUGAACACAGACAUGACGAAGAAACUUUGCUGUCAGAGACAUAAAUUAAAAACCAAUCAGAGCUUCAUCUUUUUGUAAACAACAAAUCAGACAGCUGUCAGGGACAUCACAUGACAUCAUCAGGGUGAAGGCGGACGAAAGAUACCAGACAGACUUUUACAGUCUUCAGUCUUUAUUCUGGAUUUUAACCUGAAAAUAUUCUUAUCCAAAUCAACUGAGAGGAAACAUAAAGUUUGUUGUUUUGUUUGGUCAUAAAAUGUUUUAUUGACAAAAUCCACCAACUCAAGAUGUUUUAAGAAUAAACUGACUCUUUGUUAUCUGAACCUCAUUCAUCUUUAACACACACAUUCUUUUAUAAUCUGACGCCAGAUUUUUCACCAGAAUAAGAUAAACACAAAAAACCAUGAACACUUGAAAGUUUCUGCACUGUCGUCAUCGCUUCUGUUUGUAUCUUUCAAACACUCUCAGAGACUCAAAACCGGUUUCUGUCAGUAAGUUAGUUAUUGACUCACUUGUUCAAUCAGUUAUUUGGAUCAUUAAUGAUAUUCUCAGUUGAAUGAUUAGUUAAAUUAAUGAGUU
Sparus aurata (gilthead seabream) is the source of this 4015-nucleotide long non-coding RNA. The record is from Ensembl. NCBI's taxonomy places the organism in Eukaryota, Metazoa, Chordata, Actinopteri, Spariformes, Sparidae.